This 1022-nucleotide long non-coding RNA is filed under the name Homo sapiens (human). Its description in RNAcentral is "HSALNT0341249". Lineage: Eukaryota; Metazoa; Chordata; Mammalia; Primates; Hominidae. The record is from RNAcentral.
AUUCUCAGCAGAAUUUAAUAGGUUUCUCUUCCAUCUCUGCCGCUCUCAUCUCCUAGCCAUUAAAUGAGAGGAUCUAUAAUGGAAUGCCUCUGACAGUUUUCACCAGAACAUUUUCUUUUGAGACAGAGUCUCACUCUGUCACCCAGGCUGGAGUGCAGUGGCACGAUCUCAGCUCACUAAAGCCUCUGCCUCCUGAGUUCAUGUGAUUCUUGUGCCUCAGCCUCUGGAGUAGCUGGGAUUACAGGCAUGUGCCACCACACCUGGCUUAUUUUAUAUUUUUAGUAGAGAUGGGGUUUCACCAUGUUGGCCAGGCUGGUCUUGAACUCCUGACUGCAAUGAUCCACCCACCUCCGCCUCUCCCUGUAGCAGGACAAGCUGCAGACAAAAACCCCUCAGACACUGAGUUAAAGAAGGAAGGGCUUUAUUCAGCCGGGAGCUUCAGCAAGACUCACAACUCCAAACAACUGAGCUCCCCGAGCAGAAAUUGGGCAUGAGACAGUAUGAGGGGUGGUCUCCUCCCUUAUCCCCACCAGAACUUUUUAAUGAAGAAUUGGAAUAUGACUUUGUUAAUAUAGUGGAAUAUAUUUGAGCUUGCAUCAUGGAUCCAGGAGAUAAUCAAUCAACUAAGAGCCAGGCACCUUUUUAAGUCCAGUAAGAAGAAACAUUUUUACAACCUGCUGUCUCUGAAGUCUGCUAUCUGAGAUUCCUCUCCACAAUAAAACUUGGUCUCCACAAUCCUUUAUCUUAACCUGAACAUUUUCUUUCUAUUGAUCCGAGGUCUUCAGAUAUACUCAACCAACUGUCAACCGGAAAAUGUGUAAAUUUGCCUAUAGCCCGGAAGCCGCCACUUUGAGUUGUUCUGCCUUUCGGACAAAUCCAUGUAUUUCUUAAAUGUAUUUCAUUGAUGUCUCAUGUCUCCCUAAAAUAUAUAAAACCAAGCUGUAACCCGACCACCUUGGCCUGAUCACAGGACCUCCCGAGGGCUGUGUCACAGGCCAUGGUCACUCAUAUUUGGCUCAGAA